RNAcentral lists this ribosomal RNA (990 nucleotides) under Xylariales sp. ES116. RNAcentral's name for it is "SSU rRNA". It matches the Rfam family "Eukaryotic small subunit ribosomal RNA", at positions 74 to 1084 of the family's 1831-position model. Lineage: Eukaryota; Fungi; Ascomycota; Sordariomycetes; Xylariales. The record is from RNAcentral.
UUAUACUGCGAAACUGCGAAUGGCUCAUUAAAUCAGUUAUAGUUUAUUUGAUAGUACCUACUACAUGGAUAACCGUGGUAAUUCUAGAGCUAAUACAUGCUAAAAACCCCGAUCGAAGGGGUGUAUUUAUUAGAUUAAAAACCAACGCCCUUCGGGGCUCCCUGGUGAUUCAUAAUAACUUUUCGAAUCGCAUGGCCUUGCGCCGGCGAUGGUUCAUUCAAAUUUCUGCCCUAUCAACUUUCGAUGGCAGGGUCUUGGCCUGCCAUGGUUACAACGGGUAACGGAGGGUUAGGGCUCGACCCCGGAGAAGGAGCCUGAGAAACGGCUACUACAUCCAAGGAAGGCAGCAGGCGCGCAAAUUACCCAAUCCCGACACGGGGAGGUAGUGACAAUAAAUACUGAUACGGGGCUCUUUUGGGUCUCGUAAUCGGAAUGAGUACAAUUUAAAUCCCUUAACGAGGAACAAUUGGAGGGCAAGUCUGGUCCAGCAGCCGCGGUAAUUCCAGCUCCAAUAGCGUAUAUUAAAGUUGUUGCAGUUAAAAAGCUCGUAGUUGAACCUUGGGCCUGGCUGGCCGGUCCGCCUCACCGCGUGCACUGGUUCGGCCGGGCCUUCCCUCUGGGGAACCCCAUGCCCUUCACUGGGUGUGGGGGGACCAGGACUUUUACUGUGAAAAAAUUAGAGUGUUCAAAGCAGGCUAUGCUCGAAUACAUCAGCAUGGAAUAAUGGAAUAGGACGUGCGGUUCUAUUUUGUUGGUUUCUAGGACCGCCGUAAUGAUUAAUAGGGACAGUCGGGGGCAUCAGUAUUCAAUUGUCAGAGGUGAAAUUCUUGGAUUUAUUGAAGACUAACUACUGCGAAAGCAUUUGCCAAGGAGUUUUUCAUUAAUCAGGAACGAAAGUUAGGGGAUCGAAGACGAUCAGAUACCGUCGUAGUCUUAACCAUAAACUAUGCCGACUAGGGAUCGGGCGAUGUUAUUUUUGACUCGCUCGGC